AAGUCGUAACAAGGUUUCCGUAGGUGAACCUGCGGAAGGAUCAUUAAAGAGAUAGGGUCCCUCGGGGCCCGACCUCCCAACCCUUUGUCUACCAAACCACUGUUGCCUCGGCGGGCCGUUGGCUCCCCUAACCGGUUGCCUCCGUCGGCCCUCGCGCUCUCGAGUGCCCGCCGCAGGACUAUUAAACCCUUUUUUAAAACGAGUACAAUCUGAGUGGAAUUUAAUGCUUCAAUUAAAACUUUCAACAACGGAUCUCUUGGUUCUG
Molecule: unclassified non-coding RNA, 265 nt
Filed under: air metagenome
Description: partial contains small subunit ribosomal RNA, internal transcribed spacer 1, and 5.8S ribosomal RNA
Rfam family: Eukaryotic small subunit ribosomal RNA (bases 1-46)
Source: RNAcentral